GCGCCUGUAGCUCAGUGGAAGAGCGGCGGCCUUCUAAGCCGCGGGUCGGGGGUUCGAAUCCCUCCAGGCGCA
Molecule: transfer RNA, 72 nt
Filed under: Gaiellaceae bacterium
Lineage: Bacteria; Bacillati; Actinomycetota; Thermoleophilia; Gaiellales; Gaiellaceae
Also listed under: 2 other names
Description: tRNA-Arg
Rfam family: tRNA
About the family: Transfer RNA (tRNA) molecules are approximately 80 nucleotides in length. Their secondary structure includes four short double-helical elements and three loops (D, anti-codon, and T loops).
Source: RNAcentral